UACGAAAGGGGCAAGCGUUGUUCGGAUUUACUGGGCGUAAAGCGUGCGCAGGCGGCCCGUUAAGACAGGUGUGAAAUCCCUGGGCUCAACCUAGGAAUUGCGCUUGUGACUGGCGGGCUCGAGUACGGUAGAGGGGGGUGGAAUUCCUGGUGUAGCAGUGAAAUGCGUAGAGAUCAGGAGGAACACCGAUGGCGAAGGCAGCCCCCUGGGCCUGUACUGACGCUCAUGCACGAAAGCGUGGGGAGCAAACAGG
RNAcentral lists this ribosomal RNA (253 nucleotides) under uncultured microorganism. RNAcentral's name for it is "partial 16S ribosomal RNA". It matches the Rfam family "Bacterial small subunit ribosomal RNA", at positions 524 to 776 of the family's 1533-position model. The record is from RNAcentral.